This 464-nucleotide ribosomal RNA is filed under the name Vreelandella stevensii. Its description in RNAcentral is "partial 16S ribosomal RNA". It matches the Rfam family "Bacterial small subunit ribosomal RNA", at positions 338 to 795 of the family's 1533-position model. Lineage: Bacteria; Pseudomonadati; Pseudomonadota; Gammaproteobacteria; Oceanospirillales; Halomonadaceae. The record is from RNAcentral.
CCUACGGGGGCUGCAGUGGGGAAUAUUGGACAAUGGGCGAAAGCCUGAUCCAGCCAUGCCGCGUGUGUGAAGAAGGCCUUCGGGUUGUAAAGCACUUUCAGUGGGGAAGAAAGCCUUGGGGCUAAUACCCUCGAGGAAGGACAUCACCCACAGAAGAAGCACCGGCUAACUCCGUGCCAGCAGCCGCGGUAAUACGGAGGGUGCGAGCGUUAAUCGGAAUUACUGGGCGUAAAGCGCGCGUAGGCGGUCUGAUAAGCCGGUUGUGAAAGCCCCGGACUCAACCUGGGAACGGCAUCCGGAACUGUCAGGCUAGAGUGCAGGAGAGGAAGGUAGAAUUCCCGGUGUAGCGGUGAAAUGCGUAGAGAUCGGGAGGAAUACCAGUGGCGAAGGCGGCCUUCUGGACUGACACUGACGCUGAGGUGCGAAAGCGUGGGUAGCAAACAGGAUUAGAUACCCGAGUAGUC